RNAcentral lists this ribosomal RNA (546 nucleotides) under uncultured bacterium. RNAcentral describes it as "bacterial SSU rRNA". It matches the Rfam family "Bacterial small subunit ribosomal RNA", at positions 31 to 542 of the family's 1533-position model. The record is from RNAcentral.
GAUGAACGCUAGCGGCAGGCUUAAUACAUGCAAGUUGAGGGGCAGCAUGAUAUACGCGAGUAUAUUGAUGGCGACCGGCGGACGGGUGAGUAAUAGGUAGGGAGACCUACCUCAUACAGGGGGGAUAGCAUAGAGAAAUCUGUGGUAAUACCCCAUGAGGUUAUAUGAAUAGAGGCAUAUAAUCAAAGCAAUAAGUGAUUAUGGCGGUAUGAGAGGGGCCUACUGACCAUUAAGCUAGUUGGUGAGGUAAGGGCUCACCAAGGCGAAGACUGGUUAGGGUUUUGAGAGAGAGAACCCCCAACUUGGAACUGAGAGACGGUCCAGUACUCCCUAGGGACGGCAGGCAAGGUAGGGAAAUUAGUUGGGCGAAUUGGGGCGAAAGCCGUGACCCAGCCCAUGCCGCGUGAAAGGAGACGGCCUUAUCGGGGUUUAAACCUUAUUUACCUACGCCGGUAAAUUACGAGGGUUAGUUAACCGGGGUAACUACGUAAAUAGGAAACGGUUAGUAGUUAAGGUAAAAAGCAACCGGUCUAAACGUUCCGUACG